GAUGAACGCUGGCGGCGUGCUUAACACAUGCAAGUCGAACGAUGAAGCCCAGCUUGCUGGGUGGAUUAGUGGCGAACGGGUGAGUAACACGUGAGUAACCUGCCCUUGACUCUGGGAUAAGCCUGGGAAACUGGGUCUAAUACCGGAUAGGAGCGUCCACCGCAUGGUGGGUGUUGGAAAGAUUUAUCGGUUUUGGAUGGACUCGCGGCCUAUCAGCUUGUUGGUGAGGUAAUGGCUCACCAAGGCGACGACGGGUAGCCGGCCUGAGAGGGUGACCGGCCACACUGGGACUGAGACACGGCCCAGACUCCUACGGGAGGCAGCAGUGGGGAAUAUUGCACAAUGGGCGAAAGCCUGAUGCAGCGACGCCGCGUGAGGGAUGACGGCCUUCGGGUUGUAAACCUCUUUCAGUAGGGAAGAAGCGAAAGUGACGGUACCUGCAGAAGAAGCACCGGCUAACUACGUG
This 466-nucleotide ribosomal RNA is filed under the name uncultured bacterium. RNAcentral's name for it is "partial 16S ribosomal RNA". It matches the Rfam family "Bacterial small subunit ribosomal RNA", at positions 28 to 507 of the family's 1533-position model. The record is from RNAcentral.